UCCUAUAUCUUAGGUGGUAAGGAAUCUGCCUGCAGUGCAGGAGGCCCAGGUUUGAUUCCUGGAUCAGGAA
This 70-nucleotide transfer RNA is filed under the name Bos taurus (domestic cattle). It matches the Rfam family "tRNA". Rfam says of the family: Transfer RNA (tRNA) molecules are approximately 80 nucleotides in length. Lineage: Eukaryota; Metazoa; Chordata; Mammalia; Artiodactyla; Bovidae. The record is from Rfam by way of RNAcentral.